GCUUGAAUUUGGAUUGUGAUCAAAUUUUUGACAUUACAUGGGUUUUUUUUUACACAAAACAAAUGUCAAGAUUUUACAAAUCAAUUAAAGAUUUCUUCUUCAAACUUUUUAAAUCUAAAAUUAAAUAGUUGACACAGCAUAGGUUUCUGACACAGAAUGAAUGUGGUCUAAUGAACUUAAAAGUUUUUUUUGCCUUUGAGCAAUUCACUAUGCUGUUGAAUAUUAAUCCUCUCAAAAAAAUGUUUGAAGAAAUUUUCUUUUUAUUUAUGAAAUCUAAAAUGAGAAAAAUUUACCCCCCCCCCCCUUUUUUUUCACAUCCCCGUUUCCCUUUCUCCAAAACUGAUAUCAAUUCAAAUUUCUAAUGGAGUUUGCAACAAUAACUACUCUUUUAAAUACAUCAUAAAAUAUUAAAAUGUAAAAUAAAGUGCUUGUUAUCACUGAAUGGUAAAGAUUGGUUGGUAGUAAAAGUGAAUAUACAUUGUUUAUUGUAUAAAACAAUAAAAAAAACUUCAUCAGCAACAUUUUAUAUUGGC
Molecule: long non-coding RNA, 533 nt
Filed under: Mytilus galloprovincialis (Mediterranean mussel)
Lineage: Eukaryota; Metazoa; Mollusca; Bivalvia; Mytilida; Mytilidae
Source: RNAcentral